Molecule: ribosomal RNA, 543 nt
Filed under: uncultured bacterium
Lineage: Bacteria
Description: partial 16S ribosomal RNA
Source: RNAcentral
GGAGUUAGCCGGUGCUUCUUCUGUGAGUGAUGUCCUUCCUGCCGGCUAUUAACCCGCAGGCCUUCUUCCUCACUGAAAGUGCUUUACAACCCGAAGGCCUUCUUCACACACGCGGCAUGGCUGGAUCAGGGUUGCCCCCAUUGUCCAAUAUUCCCCACUGCUGCCUCCCGUAGGAGUCUGGGCCGUGUCUCAGUCCCAGUGUGGCUGAUCAUCCUCUCAGACCAGCUACGGAUCGUCGCCUUGGUGAGCCGUUACCUCACCAACCAGCUAAUCCGACAUAGGCUCAUCCGAUAGCGCGAGGCCCGAAGGUCCCCCGCUUUCCCCCGUAGGGCGUAUGCGGUAUUAGCCUGGGUUUCCCCAGGUUAUCCCCCACUACCGGGCAGAUUCCUAUGCAUUACUCACCCGUCCGCCGCUCGCCACCAGGGAGCAAGCUCCCCGUGCUGCCGCUCGACUUGCAUGUGUUAGGCCUGCCGCCAGCGUUCAAUCUGAGCCANAGCACCAACGUCCUGACGUCGGGACGUCGGGGCCAGGGCCGAACGGACG